Molecule: ribosomal RNA, 503 nt
Filed under: uncultured bacterium
Lineage: Bacteria
Description: partial 16S ribosomal RNA
Rfam family: Bacterial small subunit ribosomal RNA
Source: RNAcentral
AUUGAACGCUGGCGGCAGGCUUAACACAUGCAAGUCGAGCGGGGUGAUGGUGCUUGCACUAUCACUUAGCGGCGGACGGGUGAGUAAUGCUUAGGAAUCUGCCUAUUAGUGGGGGACAACAUCUCGAAAGGGAUGCUAAUACCGCAUACGUCCUACGGGAGAAAGCAGGGGAUCACUUGUGACCUUGCGCUAAUAGAUGAGCCUAAGUCGGAUUAGCUAGUUGGUGGGGUAAAGGCCUACCAAGGCGACGAUCUGUAGCGGGUCUGAGAGGAUGAUCCGCCACACUGGGACUGGGACACGGCCCAGACUCCUACGGGGGGCAGCAGUGGGGAAUAUUGGACAAUGGGGGGAACCCUGAUCUAGCCAUGCCGCGUGUGUGAAGAAGGCCUUAUGGUUGUAAAGCACUUUAAGCGAGGAGGAGGCUCUUUUGGUUAAUACCCAAGAUGAGUGGACGUUACUCGCAGAAUAAGCACCGGCUAACUCUGUGCCAGCAGCCGCCGUAA